CUGACAGAAGAGAGUGAGCACACAGCGGGCAGACUGCAUCGAUCGAUCUGCAUCCGAGACGGCGCACGUACGAAUGAUGAUGCAGCUGCUGCUGCGUGCUCACUUCUCUCUCUGUCAG
Molecule: microRNA precursor, 118 nt
Filed under: Zea mays
Lineage: Eukaryota; Viridiplantae; Streptophyta; Magnoliopsida; Poales; Poaceae
Description: mir-156 microRNA precursor family
Rfam family: mir-156 microRNA precursor family
About the family: This family represents the plant microRNA (miRNA) precursor mir-156.
Source: Rfam by way of RNAcentral